Molecule: unclassified non-coding RNA, 275 nt
Filed under: Hevea brasiliensis (rubber tree)
Lineage: Eukaryota; Viridiplantae; Streptophyta; Magnoliopsida; Malpighiales; Euphorbiaceae
Source: RNAcentral
UAAGCCUUUAAUAUUCAUAAGCACACCAUAAAUCAUCCCAAAAUAAUAUCUUGCCAACCCCCUUUUGGAGAUAAUCUACCAAGCAGAAUCAUUGCGGCCACUUAUAAUAGCUCUUUUAAGCUGAGCACCAUCAGAGUGUCUCACCAUGGGAGCAUGGGAAUCUUGUGUCCUUUCCAUUAAUCAUAUAUUUGAAUCUUAUCAAUAUUCUGCUCAUCUACAAUACUUUUAACCACUUAUCCAAAAAUGCAUAAUUGGAUAUUUGCUCACCCCAGAAG